This 579-nucleotide ribosomal RNA is filed under the name Lepidopora polystichopora. RNAcentral's name for it is "partial 16S large subunit ribosomal RNA". It matches the Rfam family "Bacterial large subunit ribosomal RNA", at positions 1835 to 2594 of the family's 2925-position model. Lineage: Eukaryota; Metazoa; Cnidaria; Hydrozoa; Anthoathecata; Stylasteridae. The record is from RNAcentral.
CCUAGAAUCAAUCUAAGGUGCAAUCUGCCCAAUGAUUUUAAAAAUAAUAGAAGUAAUUUUCUAAAAAUAAAUUUAAAGGACGCAGUAACCUGACUGUGAUAAUGUAGCAUAAUCACUCGCCAUUUAAUUGAUGGAUAGUAUGAAUGAUCAAACGAAUUCUUAACUGUCUCAAAAAAAGAAAACAUGAAAUUAAAAUAAUAGUCAAGAUGCUAUUUAUAAUUGUAAGACGAAAAGACCCUAUAGAGCUUAACUAUAUUCUUUCUAGAAAAAUAAUUAUUAAAUAGAAAGAAAGGUAGUUUAGUUGGGGCGACUAUCUUCUAAAUAUAACGAAGACAAGCAAUAUUAACAAAUGACUUAUUGUAUAAUUAACAAAUUUAACAAUUACAAAAGUAGGCUAUAAUGACCCGUUACAAUUAAGUGAAACUUAUAACGAUCAAUGGAUAAAAGCUACCUUAGGGAUAACAGGAUAAUUUUGUUCUAAAGACCUUAUUGAAAACAAAGUUUGUCACCUCUAUGUUGAAUUAAGAUAUCCUGAUAAUGCAGAAGUUAUCAAAGGUAGGUCUGUUCGACCUUUAAAAU